GCCCAAUAUAUAAAAAUCAAAAAGUCCCUGGACUUGGAAAUGGGUUUUUUCUCUCUUUUUUUUAACCUUGAUAAUUUCCACUGAAAAAGCAGUGCAACUUUUUUAAUGGUUUUUUAAAUUGUGUUAAAUGAAUCUCUUAUUUUUAAAUUUAUGCUAUUAAACAAGUCAUUGUUGUUAAAUUAGAAAGUCUGGGGAUUCAAUAGCACAUUAGGGGCUCAAUAUCAAUAAGUAAUAGAUUUUGCCCAUCUUAAAAGAUCAUAUUUCUUUAUGAUAUUUUCCUCCUAUAUUAUGCAUCAAGUAAUGGUUUUCUCUACUCUCCUUUUU
This 324-nucleotide unclassified non-coding RNA is filed under the name Hevea brasiliensis (rubber tree). The record is from RNAcentral. Lineage: Eukaryota; Viridiplantae; Streptophyta; Magnoliopsida; Malpighiales; Euphorbiaceae.